GGCUCUGUAGUUCAAGGGAUAGAAUAGAAGUUUCCUAAACUUUUGAUUCGGGUUCGAGUCCCGGCGGAGCUA
This 72-nucleotide transfer RNA is filed under the name Cryomorphaceae bacterium. RNAcentral's name for it is "tRNA-Arg". It matches the Rfam family "tRNA". From Rfam's summary of the family: Transfer RNA (tRNA) molecules are approximately 80 nucleotides in length. Their secondary structure includes four short double-helical elements and three loops (D, anti-codon, and T loops). The record is from RNAcentral. Lineage: Bacteria; Pseudomonadati; Bacteroidota; Flavobacteriia; Flavobacteriales; Cryomorphaceae. RNAcentral also lists the same sequence under 1 other name.